Molecule: long non-coding RNA, 118 nt
Organism: Lynx canadensis (Canada lynx)
Lineage: Eukaryota; Metazoa; Chordata; Mammalia; Carnivora; Felidae
Exons: 3
Source: RefSeq, a predicted model, not a curated record
GGACUCUAAGGAAGGACAAAAUAAAGGACCUAAGGAAGGACUAAGGGAGUCAAGACUUAUACAGGAAGUGAGGGAGGAAUGUUUUAAAUCUCAAAUGCAGAAAAGCUAGAUCUUUUUU